RNAcentral lists this transfer RNA (85 nucleotides) under Felis catus (domestic cat). It matches the Rfam family "tRNA". Rfam says of the family: Transfer RNA (tRNA) molecules are approximately 80 nucleotides in length. Their secondary structure includes four short double-helical elements and three loops (D, anti-codon, and T loops). Lineage: Eukaryota; Metazoa; Chordata; Mammalia; Carnivora; Felidae. The record is from Rfam by way of RNAcentral. RNAcentral also lists the same sequence under 3 other names.
ACCUGGGUGGCUCAGUCGGUUGGGUGUCUGACUUCGGCUCAGGUCAUGAUCUCACGGUUUGUGAGUUCGAGCCCCGCCUCAGGCU